ACUCCUACGGGAGGCAGCAGUGGGAAUAUUGGACAAUGGGCGCAAGCCUGAUCCAGCCAUGCCGCGUGAGUGAUGAAGGCCUUAGGGUUGUAAAGCUCUUUCGCUAGGGAAGAUAAUGACGGUACCUAGUAAAGAAGCCCCGGCUAACUUCGUGCCAGCAGCCGCGGUAAUACGAAGGGGCUAACGUUGUUCGGAAUUACUGGGCGUAAAGCGCGCGUAGGCGGAUUGGAAAGUU
Molecule: ribosomal RNA, 235 nt
Filed under: uncultured bacterium
Lineage: Bacteria
Description: partial 16S ribosomal RNA
Rfam family: Bacterial small subunit ribosomal RNA
Source: RNAcentral